This 253-nucleotide ribosomal RNA is filed under the name uncultured bacterium. Its description in RNAcentral is "partial 16S ribosomal RNA". It matches the Rfam family "Bacterial small subunit ribosomal RNA", at positions 524 to 776 of the family's 1533-position model. The record is from RNAcentral.
UACGGGGGGGGCAAGCGUUGUUCGGAAUUACUGGGCGUAAAGGGCUCGUAGGCGGCCAACUAAGUCGGACGUGAAAUCCCUCGGCUUAACCGGGGAACUGCGUCCGAUACUGGAUGGCUUGAGUUUGGGAGAGGGAUGCGGAAUUCCAGGUGUAGCGGUGAAAUGCGUAGAUAUCUGGAGGAACACCGGUGGCGAAGGCGGCAUCCUGGACCGACACUGACGCUGAGGCGCGAAAGCUAGGGGAGCAAACGGG